Molecule: transfer RNA, 65 nt
Filed under: Tetraphleps aterrimus
Lineage: Eukaryota; Metazoa; Arthropoda; Insecta; Hemiptera; Anthocoridae
Description: tRNA-Tyr
Source: RNAcentral
AAUAAGGUGUCUGAAUUUUUAGGUUGUAAAUUGUAAAUUUAUAUAUGGUAUUUAACCCCUUAUUA